AACGAACGCUGGCGGCAUGCCUAACACAUGCAAGUCGAACGAACCCUUCGGGGUGAGUGGCGCACGGGUGCGUAACGCGUGGGAACCUGCCUUUAGGUUUGGAAUAACAGUGAGAAAUCGCUGCUAAUACCAAAUAAUGUCUUCGGACCAAAGAUUUAUCGCCUUUAGAUGGGCCCGCGUUGGAUUAGCUAGUUGGUGGGGUAAAGGCUCACCAAGGCGACGAUCCAUAGCUGGUCUUAGAGGAUGAUCAGCCACACUGGGACUGAGACACGGCCCAG
RNAcentral lists this ribosomal RNA (278 nucleotides) under uncultured Lutibacterium sp. RNAcentral's name for it is "partial 16S ribosomal RNA". It matches the Rfam family "Bacterial small subunit ribosomal RNA", at positions 29 to 334 of the family's 1533-position model. The record is from RNAcentral. Lineage: Bacteria; Pseudomonadati; Pseudomonadota; Alphaproteobacteria; Sphingomonadales; Sphingomonadaceae.